UCGGGUUUCUUGCUUCUCCUAAAAAGCAAGUGGUGCGGGUGAUUUGCUGCCGCCUGGUUUCUUAUUUCCAGUCAAAGAAUAAGUGGCGAGCCUAGGG
This is a regulatory RNA element of 97 nucleotides. It matches the Rfam family "wcaG RNA". The record is from Rfam.